RNAcentral lists this ribosomal RNA (468 nucleotides) under uncultured bacterium. RNAcentral describes it as "partial 16S ribosomal RNA". It matches the Rfam family "Bacterial small subunit ribosomal RNA", at positions 28 to 507 of the family's 1533-position model. The record is from RNAcentral.
GAUGAACGCUGGCGGCGUGCUUAACACAUGCAAGUCGAACGGAAAGGCCCAAGCUUGCUUGGGUACUCGAGUGGCGAACGGGUGAGUAACACGUGGGUGAUCUGCCCUGCACUUCGGGAUAAGCCUGGGAAACUGGGUCUAAUACCGGAUAGGACGAUGGUUUGGAUGCCAUUGUGGAAAGUUUUUUCGGUGUGGGAUGAGCUCGCGGCCUAUCAGCUUGUUGGUGGGGUAAUGGCCUACCAAGGCGUCGACGGGUAGCCGGCCUGAGAGGGUGUACGGCCACAUUGGGACUGAGAGACGGCCCAGACUCCUACGGGAGGCAGCAGUGGGGAAUAUUGCACAAUGGGCGCAAGCCUGAGGCAGCGACGCCGCGUGGGGGAUGACGGCCUUCGGGUUGUAAACGCCUUUCGCUAGGGACGAAGCGUUUUUGUGACGGUACCUGGAGAAGAAGCACCGGCUAACUACGUG